UCUGAGUACUGCGAGUGAAGGGAAGAGCUCAGCGCUGAAGACCGGCCCUUGCAGGGUCGGUUUGGUGUAGCGUUUGGAGCGUUUCGAAUCUGUUGCGGUGGUGCGGUCUAAGUUUUGCUGGAACGCAAUUGCACAGAUGGUUUUACACCAGUCUGGUCGUGCCGCGCAGCAGAGUGAGAGCGCUCUCGGAGUCGGGUUGUUUGGAAACGCAGCCCAAAGUGGGUGGUAAACUUCACCUGAGGCUAAAUAUGGCUACGAGACCGAUAGCAAACAAGUACUGUGAAGGAAAGUUGAAAAGCACUUUGAAAAGAGAGUGCAAGAGAACGUGAAACCGUUAUAGUGGAAGCGGAUGGAGCCGAUGUAUCCAGUGCGUAUUUAGCCACGGUCGAAUGCAAUUUGUUCGUUUGGAGUUCUGAAAAGUCUCCGGCGGAUAACUGUUGUGUUCGGUGAAUGGUGCACUUGCGCACAGAGUGCGCCGAAUCGGCUGGACUUGGCGUUCGAAGUCUGGCCAAGAGGACCGCCUCGCAAGAGUCGAAAACCUGGGCAUCGGACGGGCGACGCAUGAGUCUGGCUGCGUUGCAUAGGGCUGGUCGACCUGAGGUGGCCGUAGAGGUUGCUACGUUGUUGGGGUGCGGCCCAGGCGUUUCGCCCCAAGACGUGUUUCUUUCCGCGGUCGUUUUUCGGCCGGUUUUCGGUGUUUAGUCGGUCACCCAUUUGACCCGUCUUGAAACACGGACCAAGGAGUUUAAGGUUUCCCCAAGUCAUUGGGUGGAAAACUCAAAGGCGAAAUGAAAGUGGGACACUUGGUGUCUGUGAUGCGAUCCGUGUAUGAUUCGUUGUAUGCGGAGCAGCAUCGACCCAUGACCAGAACUUGUUCUGUUGUGGCGUCUGAGCGUAGGCUUUGAGACCCGAAAGAUGGUGAACUAUGCCUGAACAGGACGAAGUCAGAGGAAACUCUGAUGGAAGUCCGAAGCGGUUCUGACGUGCAAAUCGAUCGUCUGAUUUGGGUAUAGGGGCGCAAGACUAAUCGAACCAUC
This 1037-nucleotide ribosomal RNA is filed under the name Schistonchus sp. ex Ficus nymphaeifolia WY-2014. Its description in RNAcentral is "eukaryotic LSU rRNA". It matches the Rfam family "Eukaryotic large subunit ribosomal RNA", at positions 78 to 944 of the family's 3401-position model. The record is from RNAcentral. Lineage: Eukaryota; Metazoa; Nematoda; Chromadorea; Rhabditida; Aphelenchoididae.